AAAAAGGAAGGCUUAUUUGGUAUUAGGUAGUUGGUUAUGAUAAAAGCUGACCAUAGCCUGAGAUGCCUAGCAGACUUUAGCGAGUGAUCUGCCACAACGGGCUUGGAAGAGUGCCUGAACAUACAAUGGCAGCAGUAAAGAAUCUUGGACAAUGCAUUAACGUGUGAUCCAGCCAGUCUCUGUGGUGGAUGAAGGCCUUUUAGGUUGUAAACAUCUAAGGUUUUUUUUAGAAUAUAAUGAAUGUAUAAAAAAAAUCAAGGGGUGGCUAACCUCGUGCCAGCAGCCGCGGUAAUACGGGGGCCUCUAGUCCUUGACCUCAUGACUGGGGUGUAAAAUGGCCACAAAGGAGGUUGUCUUUGUUCUUGAUAAAAUACUACGACUUGAUCGUAGGGCUAUCAUUAAUACAAGAAAUUUUGACUAGAAUAUAUAGGGG
RNAcentral lists this ribosomal RNA (433 nucleotides) under uncultured bacterium. Its description in RNAcentral is "partial 16S ribosomal RNA". It matches the Rfam family "Bacterial small subunit ribosomal RNA", at positions 219 to 661 of the family's 1533-position model. The record is from RNAcentral.